Molecule: ribosomal RNA, 468 nt
Filed under: uncultured bacterium
Lineage: Bacteria
Description: partial 16S ribosomal RNA
Rfam family: Bacterial small subunit ribosomal RNA
Source: RNAcentral
GACGAACGCUGGCGGCGUGCUUAACACAUGCAAGUCGAACGGAAAGGCCCUGCUUUUGUUGCGUGCUCGAGUGCCGAGCGGGUGAGUAACACGUGAGUAACCUGCCCUUGUCUUUGGGAUAACUUCAGGAAACUGGGGCUCUUACCGGAUAGGAGCUCCUGCUGCGUGGUGGGGGUUGGAGAGUUUCGGCGGUUCGGGAUGGACUCGCGGGUUAUCAGCUUGUUUGUGGGGUAGUGGCUUACCAAGGCUAUGACGGGUAGCCGGCCUGAGAGGGUUACCGGCGACAUUGGGACUGAGAUACGGCGCAGACUCCUACGGGAGGCAGCAGGGGGGAAUAUUGCGCAAUGGGGGGAAGCCUGAUGCAGCAACGCCGCGUGCGGGAUGACGGCCUUCGGGGUGUAAACAGCUUUCGCCUGUGACGAAGCGUGAGUGACGGUAAUGGGUAAAGAAGCACCGGCUAACUACGUG